CCCUCCACAGGGUACCUCUGGUUCAAAUCCCCAGCAAAGACAUGGAAGAAUUUUUGCAACGCGCCAAAUCUAAACUGAUAUUGGUAUCAUUUGGGGUAUGGUGUACAAGUCUGGGGAGCACUUGCAA
This 127-nucleotide long non-coding RNA is filed under the name Ictidomys tridecemlineatus (thirteen-lined ground squirrel). RNAcentral's name for it is "lncRNA (ENSSTOG00000029644.1)". The record is from RNAcentral. Lineage: Eukaryota; Metazoa; Chordata; Mammalia; Rodentia; Sciuridae.